Molecule: long non-coding RNA, 325 nt
Filed under: Carica papaya (papaya)
Lineage: Eukaryota; Viridiplantae; Streptophyta; Magnoliopsida; Brassicales; Caricaceae
Description: long non-coding RNA (CPAP_LNC010521)
Source: RNAcentral
UGUAAUUUAAACAAUAAAGCUUAGGAAACUUGAUACCAAUUGAAAAGGUAAGGGAAAGAAAUCCUCCAAAAGUCAAAUUAAAAUUGUAGAGUUGCUUCAUGCCAACAAAACAUAUAUGCAAUGCCCAGAAAAACCCAGAUCAAAAUAAGUGAAAAUUCAUAAACCCUCCACCAUCUUCUUCAACUCAUCCUCCUUUUCAGUCCGCCGCCAUCUUCCUCUUCGUUGAUGAUCCAGAGAGGAAUGACUUCCUCUGCCAUUGCUGGAUUCGUGUGAUUCUUCCCCAACUAUUCCGUGUUCGUAAGCAAGCCUGGGAUCUAUGGGGAGG